AUGAAGCAUUUGCCCCUCAUGUUGGAAGGUUCUGCCAGAGCAUGGUUGAAUCAGUUACCUCCUAGCAGCAUUUACACUUGGGAAGAUCUGUCCCGAGUGUUCGUCAGAACGUUUGAAGGAACUUGCAAGCGACCGGCUAGAUUGACGGAGCUGCAAGUCUGUGUACAGAAGACAGAGACUCUCAGAGAGAAUAUUCAGAGAUGGAUCACUUUGCACCAUACCGUGGAGAACGUGUCUGACCAUCAGGCAGUUUGCGCCUUCAAGGAUGGCGUCAAGAACAGAGAAUUGAGUCUGAAAUUUGGUCGAACCGGAGACAUGACCCUGAGUCGGAUGAUGGAGAUUGCUACCAAGUACACCAACGGCGAAGAAGAAGACCGACUCCGAAGCGGCAAGUACAAGCCGAGUCAGUCGGAGAAGGGAAACACCAGUCGGAAACAGAAGCGGAAGGCUGAACCGGCAGCUCCUGGAGAGGCUCUGGCCGUGACUCAGGGAAAGUUCAAAGGGAAACCAAAAGGAUCCUGGAACCCUAAGAAGGUGAAGGAUAAAGAAGGGAACGACGUGAUGGAUAUGCCGUGUCACAUCCACACGAAGAAAGAUGAAGAGGGCAAUAUCAUUUACCCGAAGCAUACCACUCGCCAAUGUCGACUCCUGAUCCAGCAGUUUCAAGGAAAACAGUCUAAGGACAAGAAAAAGGAGUCGGACAAGGCCGAAGACAAGGAGGACAGUGAGGAAAGAUAUCCGCAUGUCAACUCCACUCUGAUGAUCUUCGCAGAUGUGGAAAGCAAGAGCCGAUUGAAGGUCAUUAAUCGUGAGGUGAACAUGGUUGCCCCAGCAAAACCAAGUUAUCUGAGAUGGUCCCAAACACCCAUCACAUUCGACCAAUCUGAUCACCCGACUCAUAUUGCCACCCCUGGGAGGCAAGCUUUGGUGGUCGAUCCAGUUGUCGAAGGCACUCGACUGACAAAAGUGCUGAUGGACGGUGGUAGUGGGCUGAACUUGUUGUACGCAGACACACUGAAAGGAAUGGGCAUUCCGAUGUCCCGACUGAGCACCAGUAACAUGAGCUUUCAUGGAAUUAUACCAGGGAAGAAAGCCGAGUCACUCGGCCAAAUAGCUCUGGACGUGGUGUUCGGUGAUUCAAAACAUUUUCGCAAAGAGAAGUUGACGUUUGAGGUCGUGGAUUUUCAGAGUGCGUACCACGCCAUUUUGGGGAGGCCAGCUUACGCACGGUUCAUGGCUCGACCAUGUUACAUGUACCUCAAACUGAAGAUGCCCGGCCCGAAAGGAGUGAUCACUGUCACCGGUGAUAGAAAAAAGGCAGAAGAGUGCUUUCAGAAGGGCUCAAAGAUUGCCGACUCCCAGGUGACAGCGGUCGAGUUUGAAGAAUAUAAACAAAGCGCAGACCUGAGUGAUUUGCUGCGGUCCAAGAAGCCCGCCACAGAAUCUGCAUUUCAGUCGUCCGGUGAGACGAAGCCUGUCAACAUUCACCCGACCGAUCCCAAUGCAACCCCGACCCACAUCUCCACCACACUCGACCCGAAAUAG
Molecule: ribosomal RNA, 1545 nt
Filed under: Triticum aestivum (bread wheat)
Lineage: Eukaryota; Viridiplantae; Streptophyta; Magnoliopsida; Poales; Poaceae
Description: partial small subunit ribosomal RNA
Source: RNAcentral